GAAAUGCGAUAAUUAAUGUGAAUUGCAGAAUUCAGUGAAUCAUCGAGUCUUUGAACGCACAUUGCGCCCCCUGGUAUUCCGGGGGACAUGCCUGUCCGAGCGUCAUUGCUGCCCUCAAGCACGGCUUGUGUGUUGGGCUUCCGUCCCUGGCAACGGGGACGGGCCCAAAAGGCAGUGGCGGCACCAUGUCUGGUCCUCGAGCGUAUGGGGCUUUGUCACCCGCUCCCGUAGGUCCAGCUGGCAGCUAGCCCCGCAACCAAUCUUUUUAACCAGGUUGACCUCGGAUCAGGUAGGGAUACCCGCUGAACUUAAGC
This 314-nucleotide unclassified non-coding RNA is filed under the name plant metagenome. RNAcentral describes it as "partial contains 5.8S ribosomal RNA, internal transcribed spacer 2, and large subunit ribosomal RNA". The stretch from base 1 to 105 matches the Rfam family "5.8S ribosomal RNA", at positions 50 to 154 of the family's 154-position model. The record is from RNAcentral.